RNAcentral lists this transfer RNA (70 nucleotides) under Marmota monax (woodchuck). RNAcentral's name for it is "tRNA.Val". The record is from RNAcentral. Lineage: Eukaryota; Metazoa; Chordata; Mammalia; Rodentia; Sciuridae.
GGGGUUGUGCUCAGCGGUAGAGCAUUCUCCUGACACGUGCAAGGCCCUGGGUUCCAUCCUCAGCACCACA